Long non-coding RNA from Hemibagrus wyckioides, 1077 nucleotides. RefSeq lists it as uncharacterized. Lineage: Eukaryota; Metazoa; Chordata; Actinopteri; Siluriformes; Bagridae. The transcript has 5 exons. The record is from RefSeq and is a predicted model, not a curated record.
CAUUAUGUUUCUGAAAGGUACCCUGACCAUUGUCUUUGCUGGAUUUUGGCUACUGUGCAUGCUUUGUCUGAAGACAGAUGCUUAUGUCCCACUGAGCCAUGGCUGCUGCAUCAAGUACAUUCGCAGACCACUGGAUUUCAAACUGAUCAAAGGUUUUGCACAGUCGAGUUUUGGUAACGUGCGCUGCGUUGAUGUGAUCAUAUUCAUUACAAAGCGCAACAAGAAGGUGUGUGCAAACACUAAGGAGGUGUGGGUGAAGAAUGUUCUAAAACGUCUAAGGGCACGCUUCCAGGCCAGACAAAGGCUAUAAAAGCUAGUUCAAGUGAGCAGAGAAGCAUCUAUAAAAGCACAGCAUGUCUAAUCUUGAUGUGGAUGAGCUACAAGACAGCAGGCAACACAGUGAAAUCUAUACUUCACAUAUCCCAUCUUUGGAAAUUGGGUCAGAGCACAGCAUCAGCCAUUAUACAGCACUCCUGGAGCAAUGAGAGUUAAGGGCCCUGCUCAGGGGCCCAACAGCUUAGGAGUGCUGUUGCUCUAACCCCAAUCUGCCAAUCAACAACCCAACAACCUUUAACCACCACUACCCCAAAGGAUUGUUUCAACAUGCAACAGGUUUGAUUUGUGCCCAGGAUCACAACAUAAAGGAAAAGAACCAACAUCAGAAUUGUAAUUUGAACCCAUGCCUCCAAAGGAGACUGCUACCUGAACACAGCACCUAAGACUGCUCGGCCAACCUGACACAUAAGUUUUUAAAAGGUCCAAAUAGUAAAGUGAGUAGUUUGCUCACAAAAAUAUUUGACAGAUCUAUUUAUUUUAUUUGUAUUCACAGCCACCCCUUCUACCAGACUCUUAACCUCAGUCACUGGCAGAAUGAAUGAGAACAUAUGAACUACCACUGCCAGACUCUGUAACAGCUUUUUCCCUAAGAUUGUUAUGCUUAGUAACUGAACUAAAAUAAAUGAAACAAUAUCUAAUCAGCUUGGCAGGUCCUCUGUUAAAGUGUAGGAUUCUAUAUAGUAGCACAGAACAAGCUAUGAAAACCCAAGUAUAUCAAAAAUCCUACUGUUUUCUGUCUUA